Long non-coding RNA from Oryzias latipes (Japanese medaka), 796 nucleotides. RefSeq lists it as uncharacterized. The record is from RefSeq and is a predicted model, not a curated record. NCBI's taxonomy places the organism in Eukaryota, Metazoa, Chordata, Actinopteri, Beloniformes, Adrianichthyidae.
CUGUCAAAGAGAGCCUCUAUGAAAUACUCCAGCCUGCCUGCGUCCCCCUCGUCCACGUCCACUGCUUUCAGCUGGACCACCGCGGUUCCUGCAGAAUGCCAGACUCAGACAGAGCGGACUUCUCCAGGAGCUUCUGCAGGCGGCCCUGGUUAAAGGAACUGUGUCCAACUCUCCAGUGAACGAACACAAUACAGACAUGACAGGCAGGUCUGCAGCGCCUCCUCUUGGUAUUGGUUGGAAAAUGCAAGAAAAACGUUGAAAUGUAUAAAGAUGAGGGCUAAUUUGAUGGAUCAGCUCAUUCGUUCCAAGUGACCCUCUGAUCCACAGCUGAGGCCUUCAAGGUUCUGGAAAGUCCCAUCAGAGCUUAACUCUGCCUCAAAUCAGCCGUGUAAUCUUCACAGCUGAAAGCCCGACCUCCUUCUGACUUGGACCCCUCGACGGUCCACUAACACAACCACCACCUCCUCCACUGCUCUGCACACUGGGAACCGCAUGGAGCUUUCCAGUCAGUUAGAGGAAACAGUUGAAGCUAAAGUUUGUUCUCAGGAGCAGACUGCACUGUGAGGUUUAACUUCUUACAUUUGCUCAUGUCAAUGAUAUUUUAGGAAAAAGGGUAAAAACAUCCAUCUUCAGAACCUCUUUAGCCCCUAUCAGGAGUUGCUGGAGCCUAUCCGGCUAGUAUUGGGUCAGGGAUCUGCAAUCUUUAACACCAAAAGAAACAUUUUGUCCGUUUCUUACAGCGAGCCCAAAAAAGUGCCAAUACGCUGUUGAGAAAAAUCAACUUUAAGUUUUGUGG